RNAcentral lists this non-coding RNA (178 nucleotides) under Deltaproteobacteria bacterium. RNAcentral's name for it is "6S RNA". It matches the Rfam family "6S / SsrS RNA". From Rfam's summary of the family: E. coli 6S RNA was the first non coding RNA to be sequenced, but its function was unknown until recently. Lineage: Bacteria; Pseudomonadati; Myxococcota; Myxococcia. The record is from RNAcentral.
GGUUCGCGGCGCUGGAGUAGAUCAGCAGGAGAACCGAUACUAACAAAUAGGGAGCCAGAUCCUAAAGCGGUGUGCAAGCCCCCCGCCUCAAGUGCGUAGGGGGAAGCCUGAAGCGAUAGUCGAUGGCACCCACCUAGAGAUGGUGGGUUCCCCUAGCCUCCGCUCCCGCCGCGAACCG